GGUGGUGGGCAGCACUGCCUGGCAGGCGGCUCUCUCAGAUCUGUCACUGUGGGGCACAGCUCCUGCCUCAGGACCCUGGCCACGUCUUCCACUGUCCUGCCCUCACUCUGCAGGAACAGAAAAGCUUUCCCAGCCACUUCGAACUUGCCCAGAGGUUUGAGGGGUGUCCGGAUGAUCUCUUCAAAUUCCUCAUGGUUGCAAUCUUCCGGGAUUCCCAGAAUCAUCAGGGACUUGUAACUAUCCACCUCCAAGGCCUUACACCCAUGUUCCAACAGUGCAAUGUCCUGGACACCAAAUAGCAUCCUGCCCAGCUCUUUGAGAACCUUGGGCUUCCUAAAGGUCUUCACUGUGCCCUGAUGGCAAAGAGCUCCCUGGAUCUGAUCUGCCGAGGGGUUCUGUCACCAGAGUGAGGCGGGUGUCAGCCUGGCAGCCAGGGGGUUCAGCCC
Molecule: long non-coding RNA, 446 nt
Organism: Perognathus longimembris pacificus (Pacific pocket mouse)
Lineage: Eukaryota; Metazoa; Chordata; Mammalia; Rodentia; Heteromyidae
Exons: 3
Source: RefSeq, a predicted model, not a curated record